RNAcentral lists this microRNA precursor (68 nucleotides) under Nematostella vectensis (starlet sea anemone). RNAcentral describes it as "mir-9437 microRNA precursor family". It matches the Rfam family "mir-9437 microRNA precursor family". Lineage: Eukaryota; Metazoa; Cnidaria; Anthozoa; Actiniaria; Edwardsiidae. The record is from Rfam by way of RNAcentral.
CCUUAACGAGAAUCUGAUACGGUUCCAGUCAGACCGGAGGGGAAAGACGCUUAUACAGCUUCGCAACC